Molecule: non-coding RNA, 4018 nt
Organism: Callithrix jacchus (white-tufted-ear marmoset)
Lineage: Eukaryota; Metazoa; Chordata; Mammalia; Primates; Cebidae
Source: RefSeq, a predicted model, not a curated record
AUGGAUGUGGCUCUGUUUGAGAUGAAUCAGUCGGAUUCAAAAGAAGCGGACAGUUCACAGGGGAGUUCACAAGACAGUUCAGAGAACAGUUCAGAAUCAGAGAAUGAAGAUGACAGCAUCCCAUCUGAAGUCACCAUAGAUAACAUUAAGCUUCACAAUUCUGAAGGUGGAAAAGGCAAGAUUGAAGUUUUGGACAGUCCAGCAAACCUGCGUUCCUCCGCGCCAGCACGGGGGGAGGCACAGAAGCCCCCCGCCCUCUCCCGAGUGUCCAGGAUGCUUUCCGUGGCUCACCCAGCUCCCAAGCUGCCACAGCCCGAGUGGCUGGACCUGGUGUACACGGCGCUGAAGCGGGGUCUGACGGCCCUUGGAAGUGCACCAGCAGGAGCAGGAGAAACUCCAGGGGCAGAUAAGGGAGUCCAAGAGGAAUUCCCACCUGGGCUUCCUAUAUGAUCUGGACAAGCAAGUCAAGUCCAUUGAAUGCUUCCUGCUACGACUGGAGUUCCAUGCCAGCAAGAUCGACGAGCUGUGUGAGGCAUAAUGUGUCCAGCGGCGUCUGCGGGAUGGUGCCUACAGCAUGGUCCCUGCCUAUACCACUGGGUCCCCUGGGAGCCGAGAGGCCUGGGACAGCCUGGCAGAGGCCACUUGGGGGCAUCGAGAGUACACAGAGAGCAUGUGUCUACAGGAGAGCGAGCUGGAGGCACAGCUGGGCGAGUUUCAUCUCCGAAUGAAAGGCUGGCUGGCUUCGCCAGGCUGUGUGUGGGUGAUCAGUAUGAGAUCUGCAUGAAAUAUGGACGUUAGCACUGGAAACUACGGGACCGAAUUGAGGGUAGUGGAAAGCAGGUGUGGGACAGUGAAGAAACCAUCUUUCUUCCUCUGCUCACGGAAUUCCUGUCUAUCAAGGUAACAGAACUGAAGGGACUGGCCAACCAUGUGGUUGUGGGCAGUGUCUCCUGUGAGACCAAGGACCUGUUUGCUGCCCUGCCACAGGUUGUGGCUGUGGCUAUCAAUGACCUCGGCACCAUCAAGCUCAGCCUGGAAGUCACAUGGAGCCCCUUCGACAAGGAUGACCAGCCCUCAGCUGCUGCUUCUGUCAACAAGGCUUCCACAGUCACCAAGCACUUCUCCGCCUAUGGCCAGAGCCCACCAGACACACCCUCGUUUUGAGAACAGGACUUCUAUAACAUGCUAUGACAGCAGGAGGAGCUGGAGAAUGGGACAGCAUGGUCUCUGUCUUCCGAAUCUUCAGAUGACUCAUCUAGCCCACAGCUCUCAGGCACUGCCCGCCACUCAUCAGCCCCUAGGUCCCUGGUGCAGCAACCCGAGCCCGUUCCCAUCCAAGUUGCCUUCCGUAGGCCUGAGACCCCUAGCUCUGGGUUCUUGGAUGAGGAGGGGGCUGUGGCCCCAAUCCUGGCAAAUGGGCACAUACCCUGCAGUUGGACUCUGAGCCACAUCAGUGAGGCUAGUGUAGACACUGCCUUGGCUGAGGCUUCAAUGGAGGCUGUGGGCCCAGAAAGCCUAGCCCAGGGACCAAGCCCACCUAUACACCCAGAUCCCACCCAUAGGGAGCACGCCAAUCCUGAUCCUCCUGCCCUGGACCAUGGCCACUCUACCACAAGCUCUACUCCUGGUACAACAGGCUCUGUCCCCACAUCCACAGACCCUGCCCCAUCUGUACACCUAGACUCAGUUCAUAAGGCCACAGACUCUGGCCCUUCAGAAUUGCCAGGCCCCACUCAUACCACUACAGGCUCUACCUAUAGUGCUGUUACCUCAACCCACAGUGCUCCAAGCACCCCUACUCACACUACUACAGGCUCCACCCACAAGCCCAUAAUCUCUACCCUUGCUGCUACAGGCCCUACCCUCAAUAUCACAGGCCCAAUCCAGAUUACCACAAGCCCCGCCCACAGCACAGCAAGCCCCACUCAUACUUCCACAAGCCCCACUCACACUUCCACAAGCCCCACCCAUGCCACAAGUCCCACCCAUAAAACCACAAGUCCCACCCACACCACCACAAGUCCCACCCACAAAACUAGGAAGUCAAUUCACACCACUACAAGUUGUACCCCCAGUGCUAUCGGCCAGGUCCAGACUGCCACAAGCCCCACCCAUCCCACCACAAGCCCCACCCCCACAAAUGUAAGCCCUUCCACUUCUCUAGAACUUGCUACCCUCCCCAGCCCUUCCGUACACUCAGACUGCACCCUCCCAUGCACUGACUCCUUUCCCUGUAGCCUGCCAGCCUCUAGUUCCUGCACUCAGGCAGACCCUAUAGCCCCCAGCACCUCCCACCCAAGUCCUGCCCAUUCCAGUUGGAAACCCCUCACAAGCCCUGCCCCAGAUCCCCCAGAGCCAAUGGUUCAGAGUCUAAGUCCCACUCCCUCACCCCCAACCCCUGCACCGCAGCAUUCAGAACUUAGUGUGGCCAUGGUUGUCCAGACCCCAGUCCCAGGGGCAGCUGGAGGGACUGGGAACAGGAGGUUGGAGGAGGCACUGGGGGCCCUAAUGGCUGCCCUGGAUGACUACCAUGGCCAGUUUCCUGAGCUGCAGGGCCUGGAGCAGGAGGUGACCCGACUAGAGAGUCUGCUCAUGCAGAGGCAAGGCCUGACUCGCAGCCGGGCCUCCAGUCUCAGCAUCACUGUGGAGCAUGCCUUGGAGAGCUUCGGCUUUCUCAAUGAAGACGAAGAUGAAGACAACGAUGUUCCUGGGGACAGGCCCCCAAGCAGCCCAGAGGCUGGAGCUGAGGACAGCAUAGAUUCACCCAGUGCCCACCCCCUCAGCACGGGGUGUCCAGCUAUGGAUGCUGCCUUGGUCCAGCACCUGUACCACUGCAGUCGCCUCCUGCUGAAACUGGGCACAUUUGGGCCCCUGCGCUGCCAGAAGGCAUGGGCCCUGGAGCGGCUGCUGCUGGAAGCCUGAGUGCUGAAGGUGGGAGACCCUGGCCACCUCUGCCCAGGAAGUGGUGCAGUUCUCAGCCUCUCGGCCUGGCUUCCUGACCUUCUGGGACCAAUGCACAGAGGGACUCAGCUGCUUCCUCUGCCCAAUGGAACGGGUGCUUCUCACCUUCUGCAACCAGUAUGGUGCCCGCCUCUCCCUGCGCCAGCCAGGCUUGGCCGAGGCUAUGUGUGUGAAGUUUCUGGAGGAUGCCCUGGGGCAGAAGCUGCCCAGAAGGCCCCAGCCAGGACCUGGAGAGCAGCUCACAGUCUUCCAGUUGUGGAGUUUCGUGGAAACCCUGGAAAGCCCCUCCAUGGAGGCCUACGUGACCGAGACUGCCAAGGAAGUGUUACUGGUGUGGAAUCUGAACUCAGAUGACGAGGCUGUUGUGCAGAAGGCCCUGAGAUUGGCGCCCAAGGGGCGUCUGCGGAGGGAUGGGCUGCAGGCCCUCAGCUCCCUUCUCAUCCAUGGCAACAACAAGGUUAUGGCUGCUGUCAGCACCCAGCUCUGGAGCCUGUCACUGGGCCCUGCCUUCCGGGAGAGGGCCCUCCUGUGCUUCCUGGACCAGCUGGAAGAUGAAGAUGUGCAGACUCGAGUGGCUGCUGCCUGGCCCUGGGCUGCAUCAAGGCUACUGGGGGCACUGAGCCCCUGGUGUACCUCUGCCAGAUGGACACAGAAGCUGUGAGGGAAGCUGCCCGGCAGAGCCUGCAGCAGUGUGGAGAAGAGGGACAGUCUGCCCAUCGAUGGCUGGAGGAGUCCCUGGAUGCCCUGCCCCGCAUCUUUGGGCCUGGCAGCAUGGCUAGCACAGCAUUCUAAACUAUUCACCCACGGGUUCCUGGCGCCCCUUCCCCCCACUUUCAGCGUUCACCAGGCACUGGCCAGGAGCAUAAGGGCUGCCUCCAGAUACCCCUCCCCCACAGAUUCCUAGCAUUGAAAAUCUAAUAUAUUCUUCUGCACAUCCCUUGCCAUAAAUCAGUGUCCGGGGCUUUGCCACCCUGCCUCUCUGCCCAGCCAUAUCCCUUGGUUUUGUAUUUUAUUUACAGAAAAUAAAAAAGCAAAAUGCGUUUCCUACCAAAAAAAA